AAAGGGUCCGUAGGCGGUUUAAUAAGUCAGUGGUGAAAGCCCAUCGCUCAACGGUGGAACGGCCAUUGAUACUGUUAAACUUGAAUUAUUAGGAAGUAACUAGAAUAUGUAGUGUAGCGGUGAAAUGCUUAGAGAUUACAUGGAAUACCAAUUGCGAAGGCAGGUUACUACUAAUGGAUUGACGCUGAUGGACGAAAGCGUGGGUAGCGAACAGGAUUAGAUACCCUUGU
RNAcentral lists this ribosomal RNA (230 nucleotides) under uncultured bacterium. RNAcentral's name for it is "partial 16S ribosomal RNA". It matches the Rfam family "Bacterial small subunit ribosomal RNA", at positions 562 to 791 of the family's 1533-position model. The record is from RNAcentral.